RNAcentral lists this ribosomal RNA (430 nucleotides) under uncultured Herbaspirillum sp. RNAcentral describes it as "bacterial SSU rRNA". It matches the Rfam family "Bacterial small subunit ribosomal RNA", at positions 958 to 1393 of the family's 1533-position model. The record is from RNAcentral. Lineage: Bacteria; Pseudomonadati; Pseudomonadota; Betaproteobacteria; Burkholderiales; Oxalobacteraceae.
AACGCGAAGAACCUUACCUACCCUUGACAUGUACAGAACGCCGAAGAGAUUUGGUGGUGCUCGCAAGAGAACUGUAACACAGGUGCUGCAUGGCUGUCGUCAGCUCGUGUCGUGAGAUGUUGGGUUAAGUCCCGCAACGAGCGCAACCCUUGUCAUUAGUUGCUACGAAAGGGCACUCUAAUGAGACUGCCGGUGACAAACCGGAGGAAGGUGGGGAUGACGUCAAGUCCUCAUGGCCCUUAUGGGUAGGGCUUCACACGUCAUACAAUGGUACAUACAGAGGGCCGCCAACCCGCGAGGGGGAGCUAAUCCCAGAAAGUGUAUCGUAGUCCGGAUUGUAGUCUGCAACUCGACUACAUGAAGUUGGAAUCGCUAGUAAUCGCGGAUCAGCAUGUCGCGGUGAAUACGUUCCCGGGUCUUGUACACACGC